Molecule: ribosomal RNA, 295 nt
Filed under: uncultured bacterium
Lineage: Bacteria
Description: partial 16S ribosomal RNA
Rfam family: Bacterial small subunit ribosomal RNA
Source: RNAcentral
GGAUUAGAUACCCUGGUAGUCCACGCCGUAAACGAUGAUAACUAGCUGCUUGGGCUCAUGGAGCUUGGGUGGCGCAGCUAACGCAUUAAGUUAUCCGCCUGGGGAGUACGGUCGCAAGAUUAAAACUCAAAGGAAUUGACGGGGGCCUGCACAAGCGGUGGAGCAUGUGGUUUAAUUCGAAGCAACGCGCAGAACCUUACCAGCCUUUGACAUCCUAGGACGGUUUCUGGAGACAGAUUCCUUCCCUUCGGGGACCUAGUGACAGGUGCUGCAUGGCUGUCGUCAGCUCGUGCCG